Molecule: ribosomal RNA, 400 nt
Filed under: uncultured bacterium
Lineage: Bacteria
Description: bacterial SSU rRNA
Rfam family: Bacterial small subunit ribosomal RNA
Source: RNAcentral
GGGGAAUCUUGCACAAUGGGGGCAACCCUGAUGCAGCGACGCCGCGUGAGCGAUGAAGCCCUUCGGGGCGUAAAGCUCUUUCGACCGGAACGAUAAUGACGGUACCGGGAGAAGAAGCUGCGGCUAACUACGUGCCAGCAGCCGCGGUAAUACGUAGGCAGCAAGCGUUGUUCGGAGUUACUGGGCGUAAAGAGUGCGUAGGCGGUUUUCUAAGUUCGGUGUGAGAUCUCCCGGCUUAACUGGGAGGGUGCGCCGAAGACUGGGAAGCUGGAGUGUGGGAAAGGCAGGCGGAAUUCCUGGUGUAGCGGUGAAAUGCGUAGAUAUCAGGAGGAACACCGGCGGUGUAGACGGCUUGCUAGACCAUAACUGACGCUGAGGCACGAAAGCGUGGGUAGCAAAC